Long non-coding RNA from Fundulus heteroclitus (mummichog), 483 nucleotides. RefSeq lists it as uncharacterized. NCBI's taxonomy places the organism in Eukaryota, Metazoa, Chordata, Actinopteri, Cyprinodontiformes, Fundulidae. The record is from RefSeq and is a predicted model, not a curated record. The transcript has 3 exons.
GAAAAUGUAUCUAAUCAACAAAGAAACCAACAGAUAAAAGAACAAAAUAAAAACCAGAAUAAUGGAAAGUGAAAAUACCUAUUAGUUGCUGCUCUAUUGAAGACAACCUUCGGUUCGGUGGAACAUUAGUUUUAGAUUUUUGUGUCUUUCAGAGAAAACUGAAGAAGCUGACUAUGUCAAUGUAGCAAAUGUUGCUGCUAAGAACAUCACAUCUAUUCCAGGUCACCAGUUUCCUUCCUUCAAGUUUUUCCCACUACUAGCAUCUUAUUGGCUGAUUCUGCUGGUCAUUGUCCCGCUUCAUAUUCACUUUCACCUUAUUGCUCAGUCUGAGCUGAAACAGCUGAAAGCCAACCAAACGUUACUGCUGGAAGAAAAUCACAACCUGACAGACCUGAACAAGAAACUCAGCUCAGAUUUAAACAUCGGGGUUCACAACCUGACACAAGAAAAAGAAAACCUGACUCAGGAAAAUAAAAACCUGGA